Molecule: ribosomal RNA, 160 nt
Filed under: Phytophthora drechsleri
Lineage: Eukaryota; Oomycota; Peronosporomycetes; Peronosporales; Peronosporaceae
Description: 5.8S ribosomal RNA
Rfam family: 5.8S ribosomal RNA (bases 36-160)
About the family: 5.8S ribosomal RNA (5.8S rRNA) is a component of the large subunit of the eukaryotic ribosome. It is transcribed by RNA polymerase I as part of the 45S precursor that also contains 18S and 28S rRNA.
Source: RNAcentral
GUGGGGACGAAAGUCUCUGCUUUUAACUAGAUAGCAACUUUCAGCAGUGGAUGUCUAGGCUCGCACAUCGAUGAAGAACGCUGCGAACUGCGAUACGUAAUGCGAAUUGCAGGAUUCAGUGAGUCAUCGAAAUUUUGAACGCAUAUUGCACUUCCGGGUU